AGGACGAACGCUGGCGGCGUGCUUAACACAUGCAAGUCGAGCGGAAAGGCCCUUCGGGGUACUCGAGCGGCGAACGGGUGAGUAACACGUGAGUAACCUGCCCUUGGCUCUGGGAUAGCUCCGGGAAACCGGAAUUAAUACCGGAUAUUCACUGCUUCCUGCAUGGGGGGUGGUGGAAAGUUUUUCGGCUGGGGUGGGGCUCGCGGCCUAUCAGCUUGUUGGGGGGGUGACGGCCCACCAAGGCGACGACGGGUAGCCGGCCUGAGAGGGCGACCGGCCACACUGGGACUGAGACACGGCCCAGACUCCUACGGGAGGCAGCAGUGGGGAAUAUUGCGCAAUGGGCGGAAGCCUGACGCAGCGACGCCGCGUGCGGGAUGAAGGCCUUCGGGUUGUAAACCGCUUUCACCAGGGACGAAGCGAGAGUGACGGUACCGUGGGGAAGAAGCGCCGGCUAACUACGUGCCAGCAGCCGC
This 476-nucleotide ribosomal RNA is filed under the name uncultured bacterium. Its description in RNAcentral is "SSU rRNA". It matches the Rfam family "Bacterial small subunit ribosomal RNA", at positions 26 to 518 of the family's 1533-position model. The record is from RNAcentral.